RNAcentral lists this non-coding RNA (30 nucleotides) under Macaca fascicularis (crab-eating macaque). RNAcentral also lists the same sequence under 1 other name. The record is from RNAcentral. Lineage: Eukaryota; Metazoa; Chordata; Mammalia; Primates; Cercopithecidae.
UGUGUCCUUCAGGAGACCUUUGUUCCCAUA